RNAcentral lists this transfer RNA (72 nucleotides) under Mediterraneibacter gnavus. RNAcentral describes it as "tRNA-Gln". It matches the Rfam family "tRNA". Rfam says of the family: Transfer RNA (tRNA) molecules are approximately 80 nucleotides in length. RNAcentral also lists the same sequence under 3 other names. Lineage: Bacteria; Bacillati; Bacillota; Clostridia; Lachnospirales; Lachnospiraceae. The record is from RNAcentral.
AGCCCCAUCGCCAAGCGGUAAGGCACAGGACUUUGACUCCUGCAUUCAGUAGUUCGAAUCUACUUGGGGCUG